This is a non-coding RNA of Sus scrofa (pig), 1862 nucleotides long. The record is from RefSeq and is a predicted model, not a curated record. NCBI's taxonomy places the organism in Eukaryota, Metazoa, Chordata, Mammalia, Artiodactyla, Suidae.
GUCACGCAGCAACUAUGCCGGGCGGGAUAGAACCCGCGCCCAGGCUUCUGGAGUGAGUGUGAGUGUGAGAGCGAGAACCGCCCCGCAGGUCCCGAGGCGCUGGCUGGGGACUCGGCCGCGGAAAGUUCCCAGUCCCCAGCCGCAGAUCUACAGGAUUGAAAUGAAAUGUUUUGAGGUCUUCAAGCUGACUCAGGAUCCUGGAGUAUUUUUAAAAUGACGAAAUGGAAGAAAAAAAAUCAAAUUAUCAAUAAGGAGUCUUUCGACACCAGGCCCUGAUAGGGUUGAGCUGGAUGGUGACUAGCACUUGUCAUUCCCAGCAAGCACAAUGCAGAGAGCAAAUGCAAAGGACCUGGACUGUAUUGCAUCUCUUAUAGAAGUGCCUGGCAUAGGAUUGAUAGAUUUUAAUGACUGAAAAUGGAAAUUGAUAAAACAAACAUGUUCAAAAAGAAGACGCCUCUGCUUCAUCCAUUCCCAAAAAGCACUGUGUUGAUCAUAGGUCUAAGAAGUAUUGCCUUGUUCACUUAGUUUUUUAAAAUCUAGGAAAAAUUAAGAAGUGCACCCACUUUACAAGUCUUGUGCCAGCAGGAAAUGAAAGGAAAUGACUUAAGAAUAAUUUUAAAUGUGGAAGGAAAUAACCAGAGGAUGAUGACUAUGAAAUCUUACUUAUUUACUGAAUGAGGAAGCUGAUACUCAUUUCAAAAGCAACGAUUAGAAAGUAGAUGCCUUUGCUAGAAAAUACUUUUUUGAUGCCUGACAGCAGAUGAUAUUGAAUAAAAAUGAGAAGCAAGAGAAAAACAGAGGAAGAGAAUAAUGUAAGUACGUUGAUUUCAUUCAAUUGCUGUGUCUAUUUGGAUUUCUAGCUCUGUUUGAGAACACCAUACAAUUAUAUAAUCUCCGCAUCUCACUUUUUGGUCUUCUUUGAUGGAAGUUAAUCAUCCAUAAAUCCAUAAAGUACAGUGUACUGUACCUUCUUCUUAAGCUUACAAGAAGAUUAUAUGGUUUAAUGCAUGUAAAGUGCUUAGCACAAUGCCUGGCUAGAUUACUUAUUGUUAUGAUUGUAAACAAGUUUUUCAAGGAUAUUUCUAAAUAGCUAUCAUUACUCUUUCUAAUGUUUGCUAACUGAAUGAAUCACAUUUGAUGAGACUUACCCAGAAUUUAUUGGAUAAGUGAAAACAUUUUUGACCAACUACUAGCACAAUCCUUUCUUAGAGUCUAUUAAGUAUAUAUUACGUGCAUGUUAAAUUGAACCAAAUUUGGUAGUAUGUCAUUCUUAUUUACUGUGUAUGAUACGAAGAUGUCCUCCCCAUUCCUUUUCAGAGGUCACCUACUCUAAAGUAUAGUCCUAUGGUUUCCUUAGAAUUCUUCACUCUGGAGGUUGUAACAUGUUCCUUCCUCUUAGUUUGAGGCUGUUUUGUGAGCUGUUGUUUACAACAGUACAAUGCUAUUGAUAAUUUUCUCUGUUGUUAGGGACCAUGAUUACAAAACCAUUCAACUUGGGCUGUAGCCAAGAGUUGCAUCCUGAAAGUCAGUGAUGCCUAUUGAUUAACUUCACAUUGUAUAGACCUUCCUACUGCUAGAGAUCUAUGGGACCAAGUGUGGUAAAGUUUCGAUAGAUUAAAUUUCUUUGGUUCAGUGUGAAGUGCCCCACCCCAAUCACCAUGUGAAAAAGCAGCAUAUCUUUAACUCUUUAAGCUUUCUUAAUGAGGUGUUCAAAUUGUCCAAGAAAAAAACAGUAAACAGCAUACUGGUGAGGUAGCAGAAAAGCAUAAAUCAUAAUAAGAGAGAAAAUAUUUUUUAUUGACAUAUAGUUGACUUAAAAUGUUUCAUGUGUACAGCAAAGUGAUUCAGUUACACACACACAC